RNAcentral lists this long non-coding RNA (8915 nucleotides) under Setaria italica (foxtail millet). Its description in RNAcentral is "long non-coding RNA (SITA_LNC002998)". Lineage: Eukaryota; Viridiplantae; Streptophyta; Magnoliopsida; Poales; Poaceae. The record is from RNAcentral.
UUGCAGGUGACAGGUGGAGACGAGGUACAUGCGGCGACGAGUGAAGAACAGGGAUAGGAUGCCAUGCCGACGAACCGUGGGACGGUGAAGGGUGGAUCAAGGCUCGCGUUCGAGGGACAGGCGAUCGUGCGGUGUACGUCUACUGUACCUGGCUACACGGCGAGAGGACGUCAAGGGAGGUUUUCGGAUUACACCACAAAAUCCGGGGUUCGCUGGUUGAGCCAUAAAGCCAUGCAUCGUACCGGGACGCUCGUGCGGCGAGCGUUGGCCGAAGAUGGAGAUUCCGGCGAUCGCGAUACGAUUUCGGAUGGUCGUGCGGCGACAUCGCGAGGAUCACAUCACGGAGAUGGAGGAAUCGCGGACAUCGCGGAAUUUGUCAUGGAGGACGUAACUGGAAUUUACGCACCUACGUUAAAUUUAUUUAGCGUAGGGGGUUAUGUGUAAAUAGGCUGUGCCACCCUAAGGAUAUAAAUACGUGGCACCUAGGGUUGAGAGAGUUCGAGCCCUUUUGCUACAGGCGGCGCUACAGUACUCGCGAUUACUGUUCAUCGCGGUUAGUUACUGUUCAUCGCGGUUACUGUUCACGCGCGGUACUGUUCAUCGUCGCAGGUACUGUUCAUCUCUCUCUAGUCUAGCCUAGGGUUUCAAUCUAAGUGAGGGAUUUUUAUUGAUCUCUCCAAUUAAGAGAGGGAGGAUGUUUGGGCGGAGGCUAGAUGCACUUUUGUAAGCACAUUACUUGUCUCAAUUUUUCAUAUUAGUGAAUUAAUCUAUGUGCUUGUGCGUCAUGUUGUGCUGCGGUUAAGAUUGAUUUGAUCCAUCUAAAAUCAUGCUAGGGCAUCUUAUUAGAGCUUAAUCUAUUCUCGUCAUUGUCUGAUACAGUCUGCUUGUUCCUUUAAUAUCUCAAGAUCCGAAAGUCCGAUUGACAUGAUUCCAGUUGGGUUAGUUGCAUAAUUUUGUAUAGAUUUUUCUGUCAAAUUUUUAGGUUGAUCGGUCUUACGGAUUUUCGUCCAUAUCCUUUUUAUUAAGGAAACAGUAUUCUGUCCAGAUUUGAAAAACGUGAUUUAAUUAAGUUUUGAGAGGAAGGGGAAGUGUUAAACUUUAUUUUUUUGAACUUGCGCCCAUUCACCCCCCCUCUGGUCGCCGUUUCGGUCCUUCAAUUGGUAGCAGAGCCAGUUAAGGUUUUCUAUAUCUUAAUCGGUUACGAAAACCAUGGCGACCUCCGGAAAAUUCGAUACACGCGCUCCGCAUUUUGAUGGUACUGAUUAUGACUAUUGGCAAUCACGUAUGAAAGCUUAUUUGAAGGGGAAGGGGAUGAAUCUGUGGAGGAUCACACAAAACUCUACAUAUGUGAUUCCUGCAGAGGACCCUACUGAUCCUGCUGCUGUUGCUCUUCUUGAAGCAAAUAAUCGGGUUGUUGACAUUUUGCAAGCUUCUCUUUGUAAACCCGAGUAUGAUCGUAUUUCCAGUGAGGAGCUAGCUUUUCAGAUCUGGGAUAAAUUAAAGAAAUAUCAUGAAGGCUCCAACGCUGUGAAAACACGAAAAUUUGAAAUUUAUAGAAAAGAAUUUGAUGCUUUUUCUCAGUUGCCUGGUGAAUCUAUUGAAGAUCUUUUUGCAAGGUUUCAAGUGAUUGUAAACAAAAUGAAAGCCCUUAAUAAGGAUAUGCCUUACAAUGAUCAUGCAAGGGCUCUCAGAUUGUUGCAUUCACUUACUGAUGAGUGGGAUAUGAAGGUAGAGGCAAUCGUUGAGUCCGCUGGCUAUGAGACUCUUACCACUGACGAGCUUUUCAGUAAGCUUAAGUCAAAAGAGAUUGAUGUCCUCUCCAAGCGCAAAUUGAAAAAUCCCACUAGCGCUUCUUCUUCUGAUGUUCCUAUGGCUUUGGUUUCUGGGAGUAAAACUAACGCUAACACUAAUCCAGUUCCUCCAAGCUUUGCCUUGUCUUCUUUGUGUCAUGUUGCAGAUGAUGAGUUGGAGACGCUAGAUGAUGAUCAGUUGGUGCUGCUCUCCAACAAAUUCAAGCGAGUCUAUGAGAACCGACGCAACAGAAGACGCUCAGAAGGAUGUUUCAGCUGUGGUGAGCGAGGCCACUUUGCAGCUGAUUGCCCGAACAAGAGAACAUUUGAUCAGGGCAACAACUCCAGGCGCCAGGAACAACCAAGGGAGAAGAAUAAGAAGGGUGACAGGCGCAUGAAGAAGAAUGGCCAGAAGUACACUGAUAAGCAAAUUAAAAGGGCUGCACAUGUUUUGUUUUCUUCUCUUGGUGAUUUUGUUUCAGAUGCUUCUUCGAACUCAAGUGAUUCAGACUCCGAGAAUGAGCUGCCCAAAAAGAAAACUGAUGGACUCUGCUUCCUCGCCGACAUCAAGGGAGGGAUGUGCACCAUGGCCUUAGAAGAUGAUGAAGCUUCUAAUCUCAGCGACAACUCUUCUGACAAUGAGGUACAAAAUUCAGCAGAAGAAGAAAUUAAAGAAUUGACAAAAAUUAUUGAUAAACAAAACAAGAUUUUAGCAAAACUUAAGGCUGAGUAUGAUAGAGUCAUCUCUGAAUUAAAAGACUUAAAAGAUGCUACUCCUGCUGAAGUAGAAUGUGAAGAGUGCUCUGUGCAUAUGGUUUCACUUUCUGAAUUGCAAUCUAAGCAUGCCUUCAUUGUUGACAAAUUCGAAAAUGCUAAGAUUGAGUUAGAAAAACUUCACUCUGGUUCGGCUUCACUUGACGCUUGUGCUUCUUGUCCAACCUUGAAAUCUGAAUUGAAUAAUGCUAAAUCUCGUGUUAUUGAGUUGGAGAAACACUCUUGUCCUGCUUUGCCUUCCUGUUUAACUUGCCCUACUUUUGUUGCUGAAAAUAAUGAUUUGAGGGUGAAGUUUUCUGCUUUGGAAGAAGAAAAUAAACAUUUGAGAGUGAUUCUUGGUUGGUGCUCUAUUCGUGAACCUCAGAUUGGUAUGUCAAUUGCUCAAAUUAAACGGAGUGAGCGUUUUGGACCUGGAUAUGAUUUGAAACAUGUUUUUGGUGAAAAGAGUGGACCUCCUAUUUCUGAAAAGAAUCCACCUUUGGCUAAGUACACUGGACCACCUCCUAGGAAAGAGGGUCCAUGUGUCACAUCUGAGGGGUUGUUAGUUGAACCAUCGAGAUCUGUUCCAAAAAAGCAGGUUUGGGUGCCUAAACCUAAACACUUCAAUGUUGCACAGAACGCUAAGCCAUCUACUUCGCCAUGUGUUCACACUGCUAGACCUAAGCAUAACUUUGUUGCUUCUGGUUCUAAGGCUAAGGCUUCUUUUGCUCCUUCACAUAAGCAUUACCAUUGUGAUUUUUGUGAUCGUGAUGGUCAUCUCUAUGGGUUUUGCUUCCGUCGGAAGCGUGCUGAGAGACGUGAGCAGUACUCUGCACGUGGUACUCAUGAUCGUCCUAUUUUGGGUCGUGAACCUGCUAGUUGGUCUUUUGGUUUUCGCCCACAUACUCGUGCUCCUGCCCCACGUCGGAAUGACAGGCUAUGUUUUCCCCCUCGUGGUUCUCGUCAUUCUUUCGAGAGGUUUGAUUUUGCUAAUGCCUCUUUUGAGCAAGUGGCCCAACACUGGUUUUCUCUACAUUAUCCUAACCCCAGUGUUGAGUCAUUAGCUCACUCUUGUGUUCGCCAUUGACUGCAGGAUGGAGGCGAGGAGAACAUAUGGAUAAUGGAUUCCGGUUGUUCGCGCCACAUGACCGGAGAUGACAAAUGGUUCUCCAGCCUCACCCCCGCGAGCGGUAAGGAAUAUAUUACAUUCGGGGAUAAUAGUAAAGGUAAGGUUUUGGCGCAUGGCUGCAUCAAGGUAACUGAUAAAUUCAUACUAAAGGAUGUCGCGAAAGUACAAAAUUUGCACUAUAAUCUGCUUUCUGUCUCACAACUUCUUGAAGAUGAUUUUGAAGUGCGUUUUAAGAAAGGCAAUUCGCGAGUUCUUGAUUCUACUGGCAACCUUGUUUGCAAGAUUUCUCCCUUUGGACGAGUUUUUAAGGUUGAUUUUUCUAAAUCUUUUGGACAGACUCGUUGUUUGGUUGCUCGUGGUUUCCCUGAUAUUUGGAAGUGGCAUCGUCGGUUGGGCCACUUGAGCUUUGAUUUGCUUUGUCGCUUGAGUUCGAUGGAUUUAAUUGAUGGUUUGCCAAAACUCAAGUUUGAAAAAGAUUUAAUUUGUGCUCCCUGCAAACAUGGAAAAAUGGUUGCUGCUUCCCAUGCACCUGUGACGCAGGUGAUGACGAGACGACCGGGUGAACUGUUACAUAUGGACAUUGUUGGUCCAGCCCGUGUUCGGUCUGCUGGUGGGAAGUGGUAUGUGCUCGUUGUUGUGGAUGAUUUUUCUCGAUACUCAUGGGUGUUCUUUCUGGAAUCUAAGGAUGACGCCUUUUCACAUGUUCAUGAUCUUGUUCUGAAGCUGAAAAAUGAGUUGUCAAAUAAUGCCGUUAGAGCAAUUCGCAGUGACAAUGGUACGGAAUUCAAGAACUCUCGUAUGAAAGUUUUUUGUGCAGAACAUGGUCUUGAUCAUCAAUUUUCUUCUCCUUAUGUUCCUCCUCAGAAUGGUGUUGUUGAAAGGAAAAAUCGCACGCUUGUUGAAAUGGCUAGGACAAUGCUAGAUGAACAUAAAACCCCUAGACGUUUCUGGGCUGAGGCAAUCAACACCGCUUGCUAUGUUGCUAAUAGAAUUUUUCUGAGAGCUUUCCUGAAGAAAACAUCAUAUGAGUUGAGAUUUGGACGUCCUCCCAAAGUUUCCCACUUUCGAGUGUUUGGUUGCAAGUGCUUUAUUCUAAAAAAGGGAAACUUGGAUAAGUUUGAGUCUCGUUCUUCUGAUGGGUUAUUUCUGGGGUAUGCUUUGCAAGGGCGUGCUUACCGUGUGCUUAAUAUUGACACUAACCGCAUCGAGGAGACAUGUGAGGUCACCUUCGACGAGACAAUGCCUUGUUUUUCUUUUGCUUUUGAAUGUGCAGGUGAUGAUGAGAUCGGGCAGGAUAUUUUUGAGGAUGAGCAAGAGGAAGAUGGAUACAACAAUGACGACGACGAUGACACCCCGCCUGUGAUGCAGGGGGAGCCUGGCGCACAGCUCGAGCAGGCACCCUCCACCACUUUGGAGGAUGGACCAUUGCCUACACGUACAUCUACAGCAGCGCCUGCAGCUUCACCGACUUUUGAUCAGGUACCGGUUGCAGUUGAAGGAGAGGCGAUUUCAGAACGUACAGCACCACGCCACAUUCAGAAUCGCCACCCUCCUGAAAAAAUGAUAGGUAACUUGAAUGAGCGAACGACACGGAACAGAGGUAUGAAAAACAAAAAUUAUUGUGCUUUUGCUCAUACUGCUUUUGUUGCCUCUUUUGAACCCCGAGAUGUUGGACAUGCUUUAUCUGAUUCUAACUGGGUCAAUGCCAUGCAUGAGGAGUUAGAAAAUUUUGAACGGAAUCAAGUUUGGGUUUUGGUUGAUCCUCCUCCUUCUUGUAAACCAAUUGGGACUAAAUGGGUUUUUAAGAACAAACAAGGAGAAGAUGGUCAUGUUGUCAGGAACAAAGCCAGAUUAGUGGCUCAGGGGUUUUGUCAAAAGGAGGGUAUUGAUUAUGGUGAAACUUUUGCUCCUGUUGCUCGUUUAGAAGCCAUUCGUAUCUUGCUUGCAAUGGCUGCUUCACAUGGUUACAAGCUUUAUCAAAUGGAUGUAAAAAGUGCUUUUCUGAAUGGUUUUAUAGAAGAAGAAGUUUAUGUCAAACAACCGCCUGGUUUUGAACACCCCAAUUUUCCUGAUCGUGUUUUUAAGUUGCAAAAGGCUUUAUAUGGUUUGAAGCAAGCACCUCGUGCUUGGUAUGCUAGAUUGAAAACUUUUCUACUUAAAAACGGAUUCAAAAUGGGUUCGGUUGAUAAAACUCUUUUUCUCCUCAGGCAAGGCAAUGACACUUUAAUAGUUCAGAUUUAUGUGGAUGAUAUCAUUUUCGGUGGUUCCUCUCAUGUUCUUGUGAAAAAGUUUGCAGAUGUGAUGAGCAAAGAAUUUGAGAUGUCUAUGAUGGGCGAGCUGAAAUUCUUCCUUGGCUUACAAAUUAAACAAACUUCGGAAGGAACAUUUGUACAUCAGGGAAAGUACACGAAGGAUGUCCUGCAGAAGUUUGCGAUGGAUGAUGCAAAGCCAAUUUCUACGCCCAUGCCGACUAGCGCGGCUUUGGAUGCUGAUGAGAACGGAGAGCCCGUGGAUCAGAAGGAUUAUCGAAGCAUGAUCGGGUCACUGCUGUACUUGACUGCAACAAGGCCGGAUAUACACUUUGCUGUGUGUAUGUGUGCUCGUUUUCAGGCGUCCCCCAGGAUUUCUCAUCGUCAGGCGGUGAAGCGCAUCAUGAGGUAUCUUCGAUUUACUCCUGAAUUUGGCCUUUGGUACUCUACUGCUUCGACUCUCAGUUUGUGUGGUUAUUCGGAUGCUGAUUUUGCUGGGUGUCGUUUGGAUAGAAAGUCUACUUCGGGUACUUGCCAAUUUUUGGGUUCUUCGCUUGUUUCUUGGUCCUCCAGAAAACAAUCCAAUGUUGCUCAAUCUACUACAGAGGCCGAGUAUGUUGCUGCUGCUAGUUGCUGUUCUCAGCUUUUAUGGAUGAUAGCUACCCUUCGCGAUUUUGGUUUGUCGUUUUCUCGCGUUCCUCUCUUGUGUGACAGCACUAGUGCUAUAAGUGUUGCAAAGAAUCCUGUGCUUCAUUCUAAGACGAAACAUAUUGAGGUUCGUCAUCAUUUUCUGAGGGAUCAUGUUGAGAAGGGUGAUAUUGAGCUUAAAUACAUUGAUACUAGUCAGCAACUUGCUGAUAUUCUGACUAAACCACUCGAUCAAACCACGUUUGCACGUUUGCGUGGUGAGUUCGGGGUGUGUUACCCAUUUUAGUAUCAUUAUGAGUUGCUUCGGUUACAUAUGCUUUAUACUUGUUUUGGCUAGUUUGCGACCGAUGCUUUUGGAGAGGUUUAAAUGCUUUGCUUGACCAGUUUUUUUUUUGAAAACAACAUAUAUAUAUGUAUACUUCAAAAACUAUGUUGGGCUCUACUUGCUUUUCUGGAUUUAGUGACUUGUUGAAUACUAGACAUAUAUCUUGCUCAUGGUUCGGUUGUCAGCUUCUUUUAAUGAUUUUUCACUGCAAAUGUAACUCACAAUGCAAGUUUUAACUCGGAAGUGCAUACCAUGGUUGUGAGCAAAAACUCUGAAUUCCCAUAUCUCUGCUAUCUCGCUCAUGAUCUGCUUGCUUUACUGAGAAUUUACAUAUGGGCACAACUCUGAUUUUCCCAUGUCUCUGCUGGUUCUUGCUCAUAAGCAAAAUUAAACAACCUGGCUGAGCACAAUUCUUGCUUCCCAUAUCCCUGCUUGUCAUGCUCAUAAAAGCCAGAAUUAAAUAUGACAAGUGCAUUUGUGGGCGUUGAAGUGAACUUUGAUUGAAGUUGUGUAUCCGUCGUGUGAGCUUGAUAUAUGUUUCUGUCUUCAGCUUGGCACUAAUUUUGAAAUAUGCAUGCUUUUGCCUGGUUAAUUGGUUUUCACAACGACUUUAAUUCUAAAUUUCUAUUGGUCAUGGCAUUGUGUUGCUUCUCUGGAUGGCUAGUGUUGUUAGUUGGCUAUUAUAAGUAUUUGACAUAUGUCUCAGAAGCUUCUACUUGUGCUCUCUCACAUAGUUCUCGAAAUUGAUUCUUUGCAUUUUAAUCUUGAUGGAGUGCUUUGUCAACAAGGGGGAGAGUGAGUAGCACAAAUUCAUUUUUGCAAGAGGAGUUUGAUUUCGUUUUUUGCUGAGACUUGACGUGCUUGUUUUGAGGGGGAGCUUUGCUGAAAGUGUUGAGUUUUGCUGCUGAGAUUGUUUUUUGAAGAUUGAUAUGGUUUUUGAUUCACCUUGGGAGAGUGAUUUUUUAUCUUGAUUGUGUUGAGCCUAGUUUUUUCUCUAGCCCAUGUCUUUGGGGAUCAAGAUUGUUUCUUUUUCCUUCUUUCUAUUUUCUUUUUUAGCUCGAAUAAAUUUGUGCGGUGUGGUGUUGUCAAUGCACUCAUCAAGGGGGAGAUUGAGAUGCCGGUGGGCUAGUACCUUGGUGAUGAGCGAUUGACAACACGGUGUGCGUGUGACGUGUCUCUUGGCAGGUGUGGUUGCAGGUGACAGGUGGAGACGAGGUACAUGCGGCGACGAGUGAAGAACAGGGAUAGGAUGCCAUGCCGACGAACCGUGGGACGGUGAAGGGUGGAUCAAGGCUCGCGUUCGAGGGACAGGCGAUCGUGCGGUGUACGUCUACUGUACCUGGCUACACGGCGAGAGGACGUCAAGGGAGGUUUUCGGAUUACACCACAAAAUCCGGGGUUCGCUGGUUGAGCCAUAAAGCCAUGCAUCGUACCGGGACGCUCGUGCGGCGAGCGUUGGCCGAAGAUGGAGAUUCCGGCGAUCGCGAUACGAUUUCGGAUGGUCGUGCGGCGACAUCGCGAGGAUCACAUCACGGAGAUGGAGGAAUCGCGGACAUCGCGGAAUUUGUCAUGGAGGACGUAACUGGAAUUUACGCACCUACGUUAAAUUUAUUUAGCGUAGGGGGUUAUGUGUAAAUAGGCUGUGCCACCCUAAGGAUAUAAAUACGUGGCACCUAGGGUUGAGAGAGUUCGAGCCCUUUUGCUACAGGCGGCGCUACAGUACUCGCGAUUACUGUUCAUCGCGGUUAGUUACUGUUCAUCGCGGUUACUGUUCACGCGCGGUACUGUUCAUCGUCGCAGGUACUGUUCAUCUCUCUCUAGUCUAGCCUAGGGUUUCAAUCUAAGUGAGGGAUUUUUAUUGAUCUCUCCAAUUAAGAGAGGGAGGAUGUUUGGGCGGAGGCUAGAUGCACUUUUGUAAGCACAUUACUUGUCUCAAUUUUUCAUAUUAGUGAAUUAAUCUAUGUGCUUGUGCGUCAUGUUGUGCUGCGGUUAAGAUUGAUUUGAUCCAUCUAAAAUCAUGC